GUUUGGGGCGCCUGGUUGAUUCAGGCUAUAGAGCAUGGGACCCCUGAUCUCCCAGUGGUAUGGUUGGCCAUGUCACACAGUUCAGGACCGAGAUGGAUGUCGUCGGGCUCGAAGGGAAAAAUUAAACUAGAACAAGGCAGAUGGGAUGGAAUUACCUAAUAUUGUCAAAGACCCCAGCUCACACGCUGUUAAACCAGGAACCCAGGUCUCAGGCUUCAAGGUCAGCUUCAAAGCAGCUCUCCUCCCGUGGCCUGGCAGCUGUCCGCGAAACUACACGGAGCCCUCCAGAAACUGUUAUGCACAGGUAUUCCUGAACCCUGUGAACUGUCCUUGGUUGAACCUUUCUCCACUCUGCCGGGCCUGCUAAGCUCUGUUUGAAAAGCUUGCAAUUUAAAGAAGUGAAGAACCAGCAAAUAUAUAGGGUUGAAAAUGAAAAACCUUUUCUCCAGGGCUACACCAAGUCCUGGGGUUAAGACUUGUUAGUGCUGUCCUUUUAAAUAGAUAAAAGACAUUUCAA
Hyaena hyaena (striped hyena) is the source of this 517-nucleotide long non-coding RNA. RefSeq lists it as uncharacterized. NCBI's taxonomy places the organism in Eukaryota, Metazoa, Chordata, Mammalia, Carnivora, Hyaenidae. The record is from RefSeq and is a predicted model, not a curated record. The transcript has 3 exons.